AUGCGGCGCCCGGUGGCUCCCUCGAUCCACACACGCAGCUGACGUUCCGUCUGUGGGUCGUAUUUCUGUGCCAGCUUGUUCUUCACCUCGGCCGACAGCCCGUAGGCCGGCCCGCGGUUGAAGUUCGCGUUCGACAUCGGUUAAGUUCGGGGCUGGCCGGCGGCGGUUCCGUUCGGGUUAGGGUCCUGCUUGGCCCCGGCUCGGCUAUGGCUGGGUUCGGCUCGGCUCGGCUCGGUUCGUCCGGUCCCGGCCCGGCUCCGCCGCCGCCACUUUUAAAAGUCGGCGGAGGGCGCGGAGCCCCCCCCGGCGCCGGGCGGCGGCAGCCAAUGGGAUUCCCCGGCCGUGCUGACGGCACCGCGGGGCGGGCGAUGGCGUCAUUUUUUCCACAUUUAGCGGGGGGAUCCCGGAGUGGGG
This 414-nucleotide long non-coding RNA is filed under the name Gallus gallus (chicken). The record is from RNAcentral. Lineage: Eukaryota; Metazoa; Chordata; Aves; Galliformes; Phasianidae.